UUAAGCGACUAAGCGUACACGGUGGAUGCCCUGGCAGUCAGAGGCGAUGAAGGGCGUGCUAAUCUGCGAUAAGCGCCGGUAAGGUGAUAUGAACCGUUAUAACCGGCGAUACCCGAAUGGGGAAACCCAGUGUGACUCGUCACACUAUCAUUAACUGAAUCCAUAGGUUAAUGAGGCGAACCGGGGGAACUGAAACAUCUAAGUACCCCGAGGAAAAGAAAUCAACCGAGAUUCCCCCAGUAGCGGCGAGCGAACGGGGAGGAGCCCAGAGCCUGAAUCAGCAUGUGUGUUAGUGGAAGCGUCUGGAAAGGCGCGCGAUACAGGGUGACAGCCCCGUACACAAAAGCGCAUAUGCUGUGAGCUCGAUGAGUAGGGCGGGACACGUGGUAUCCUGUCUGAAUAUGGGGGGACCAUCCUCCAAGGCUAAAUACUCCUGACUGACCGAUAGUGAACCAGUACCGUGAGGGAAAGGCGAAAAGAACCCCGGCGAGGGGAGUGAAAAAGAACCUGAAACCGUGUACGUACAAGCAGUGGGAGCCCCACCACUAAGCCAGUGGUGAACUCCACAUACGCAUCCUUUGCUGAGGAUACGGUUAACGGAGCGAAAGCGACGUUCAACCGCAAAAGAAGCAGAGGGGGCUUAGUGGUGGGGUGACUGCGUACCUUUUGUAUAAUGGGUCAGCGACUUAUAUUCUGUAGCAAGGUUAACCGCAUAGGGGAGCCGGAGGGAAACCGAGUCUUAACCGGGCGUUAAGUUGCAGGGUAUAGACCCGAAACCCGGUGAUCUAGCCAUGGGCAGGUUGAAGGUUGGGUAACACUAACUGGAGGACCGAACCGACUAAUGUUGAAAAAUUAGCGGAUGACCUGUGGCUGGGGGUGAAAGGCCAAUCAAACCGGGAGAUAGCUGGUUCUCCCCGAAAGCUAUUUAGGUAGCGCCUCGUGAAUUCAUCUCCGGGGGUAGAGCACUGUUUCGGCUAGGGGGCCAUCCCGGCUUACCAACCCGAUGCAAACUGCGAAUACCGGAGAAUGUUAUCACGGGAGACACACGGCGGGUGCUAACGUCCGUCGUGAAGAGGGAAACAACCCAGACCGCCAGCUAAGGUCCCAAAGUCAUGGUUAAGUGGGAAACGAUGUGGGAAGGCCCAGACAGCCAGGAUGUUGGCUUAGAAGCAGCCAUCAUUUAAAGAAAGCGUAAUAGCUCACUGGUCGAGUCGGCCUGCGCGGAAGAUGUAACGGGGCUAAACCAUGCACCGAAGCUGCGGCAGCGACACUAUGUGUUGUUGGGUAGGGGAGCGUUCUGUAAGCCUGCGAAGGUGGCCUGUGAGGGUUGCUGGAGGUAUCAGAAGUGCGAAUGCUGACAUAAGUAACGAUAAAGCGGGUGAAAAGCCCGCUCGCCGGAAGACCAAGGGUUCCUGUCCAACGUUAAUCGGGGCAGGGUGAGUCGACCCCUAAGGCGAGGCCGAAAGGCGUAGUCGAUGGGAAACGGGUUAAUAUUCCCGUACUUGGUGUUACUGCGAAGGGGGGACGGAGAAGGCUAUGUUGGCCGGGCGACGGUUGUCCCGGUUUAAGCGUGUAGGUGUGUGUUCCAGGUAAAUCCGGUUCACUUUAACACUGAGGCGUGACGACGAGGCACUACGGUGCUGAAGCAACAAAUGCCCUGCUUCCAGGAAAAGCCUCUAAGCAUCAGGUAACAUCAAAUCGUACCCCAAACCGACACAGGUGGUCAGGUAGAGAAUACCAAGGCGCUUGAGAGAACUCGGGUGAAGGAACUAGGCAAAAUGGUGCCGUAACUUCGGGAGAAGGCACGCUGACACGUAGGUGAAGUGAUUUACUCACGGAGCUGAAGUCAGUCGAAGAUACCAGCUGGCUGCAACUGUUUAUUAAAAACACAGCACUGUGCAAACACGAAAGUGGACGUAUACGGUGUGACGCCUGCCCGGUGCCGGAAGGUUAAUUGAUGGGGUCAGCGCAAGCGAAGCUCCUGAUCGAAGCCCCGGUAAACGGCGGCCGUAACUAUAACGGUCCUAAGGUAGCGAAAUUCCUUGUCGGGUAAGUUCCGACCUGCACGAAUGGCGUAAUGAUGGCCAGGCUGUCUCCACCCGAGACUCAGUGAAAUUGAACUCGCUGUGAAGAUGCAGUGUACCCGCGGCAAGACGGAAAGACCCCGUGAACCUUUACUAUAGCUUGACACUGAACAUUGAGCCUUGAUGUGUAGGAUAGGUGGGAGGCUUUGAAGCGUGGACGCCAGUCUGCGUGGAGCCGACCUUGAAAUACCACCCUUUAAUGUUUGAUGUUCUAACGUGGACCCGUGAUCCGGGUUGCGGACAGUGUCUGGUGGGUAGUUUGACUGGGGCGGUCUCCUCCUAAAGAGUAACGGAGGAGCACGAAGGUUGGCUAAUCCUGGUCGGACAUCAGGAGGUUAGUGCAAUGGCAUAAGCCAGCUUGACUGCGAGCGUGACGGCGCGAGCAGGUGCGAAAGCAGGUCAUAGUGAUCCGGUGGUUCUGAAUGGAAGGGCCAUCGCUCAACGGAUAAAAGGUACUCCGGGGAUAACAGGCUGAUACCGCCCAAGAGUUCAUAUCGACGGCGGUGUUUGGCACCUCGAUGUCGGCUCAUCACAUCCUGGGGCUGAAGUAGGUCCCAAGGGUAUGGCUGUUCGCCAUUUAAAGUGGUACGCGAGCUGGGUUUAGAACGUCGUGAGACAGUUCGGUCCCUAUCUGCCGUGGGCGCUGGAGAACUGAGGGGGGCUGCUCCUAGUACGAGAGGACCGGAGUGGACGCAUCACUGGUGUUCGGGUUGUCAUGCCAAUGGCACUGCCCGGUAGCUAAAUGCGGAAGAGAUAAGUGCUGAAAGCAUCUAAGCACGAAACUUGCCCCGAGAUGAGUUCUCCCUGAGACUUUAGGUCUCCUGAAGGAACGUUGAAGACGACGACGUUGAUAGGCCGGGUGUGUAAGCGCAGCGAUGCGUUGAGCUAACCGGUACUAAUGAACCGUGAGGCUUAACCUU
Molecule: ribosomal RNA, 3004 nt
Filed under: Salmonella enterica
Lineage: Bacteria; Pseudomonadati; Pseudomonadota; Gammaproteobacteria; Enterobacterales; Enterobacteriaceae
Description: bacterial LSU rRNA
Rfam family: Bacterial large subunit ribosomal RNA
Source: RNAcentral